GCAACAUAACCGCGAAAUUCCGGACAUCAACAAAAAAAAACUCUAAUAUACUUAAUUUCUGCAAUACUGAACUUUCUACAAAAUCUACCAUCGAGUAUUUACUUUACUUUAUGUGCUUUAGUUCAAGUACCACGAUUCUCUGCCCACAAUCAGCUCCUACAACAUACAAUAGGUGUUCAUUAAAUUCUGCUUCAUUGAGUCGCGAAUAUAAUGUGUUUACAGCUUAGUCAUUAUUGCUGAGAAAGGGGUAUUUUCAACCCAAAUUAACAGAGCAUGUAACUAGGUCUUUAAACUUAAGUAAUCAUAAAUAAAUCGAGUCUAAAAUGGAGUCUACCGUGUCCGUUUCUAAGGGUGUCUUUCUAUUUCCGAGUACAUUAAAAAAAGCCAAAAAUGUCAGGCAAAAAACAAACUUGUUUGAAAAACAAUUCCUGAAAGAACCAUGGUACAAGGCGUAUAAAAAGAACUGGGACAAAAUUGAGUCUAGAAUUAUGGAUUUACAUCAAAAAACCUAUGAUGUUCUGUUGAAUGACAUGGUGAAGUAUAUAAAAUCAUUCUACGGAGGUAAUGAGUCCUUAGAAGGGAUCAUACCCAGUGCCACUCUCCUGACCGGAGUCAACCAGCCUGACCAUGUGUCUCAGUUUGAAACACUUAUAUCUAAAAUAAGGGAUGAAGUGACACCACAUAUUGCAAUGGUGAAUUCUCAAGACGCAUCUACAGUGAAGCAUUUAGUUGAGAAUGCAGUUUGGCAGCUAAUAAAUGGAUAUGAAAUAUUGAAUGACAGUGCAGAUUCAGAUGAUGAGACACUGCCAACAAAAAGGAAGUUGAAAAAGAACCAAUGUACAAUGCGAGCAUUACAGAACUGGUAUAAUGACAAAUAUCUCAGCUCCUCACCUAAGAAAAGACAAACUGUUUCUAUGAGAUCACUAGUGAUUAUUAUACCAGAUUUUGAGAGCUUCAAUUGUAAUGUUUUACAAGAUUUUGUUAUGAUUAUAAGUUCAUACCUGUCUUCUCUACCAAUAGUAUUCGUAUUCGGCGUGGCGACGUCUGUAUCGGCGCUGCAUAAGUCAUUCCCCUACCACGUGUCAUCCAAACUGCUGAUCAAAGUGUUCCAUUCUCAUUCAUCGCCAGUAUACAUGAACCAGGUGCUAGAAGAUAUUUUCCUGACCUACACGAGUCCCCUCCAUUUGUCCGGGAAAGCGUUCGAGCUGCUGACUGACGUGUUUUUAUUCUACGAUUUCUCGGUCACGGGACUUAUUCAAAGCAUAAAGUAUUGUAUGAUGGAACACUACUACGGAGACAACAUAAAAUCACUCUGCUGCGAACGAGAAGAUAUAGAAAACGCUGCAGCCAAACUAUCAGCAGAAGACUUAGAAACUAUUCGGCAACUGUCUUCAUUCCGACCGUUUCUUGAAGCACAGGACUGUGAAACGAAAAUUGGUUUAUUUGAAAACGAUAAUUUCUUUAGAGAAGUGUUGAGUCAGGAGUUGAACAAGUUACAUGAUUACUUGCAUAGCUUUUACUUGUGUGUGCGGCUAUUGGCGGCGUUUUUGAAGGAUUUGCCUAAAAAUAUCAUUGGAAAGACGGUACGCGAAAUAUACACAAAAUGCGCCGGCGAAUCCAUAACAAAAACCCCAACAUUCAAGGAAUGUAUGCAGCUCAUAAACUUCCAAUCACAAUUGAAGCUACUAGACAGUAUACAGGGCGCCCUUAAAGUCGUCAACUCAGAGCUACAAGGAUUAUCACCAGUGAAACCUUUACGAUCCUCACCGACUAAGAAUAACUCUAAUAAAUUAGUGUUAAAUAAUGAUUUAGGAGAAACGUUUGCAAAGACGGUUAGAAUACACUUGCUUACGUUUUUGAGGCAACUCGAAAACGCCAAUACGGAGGCUACGGUGCUCACAAAUGUUGCUAAUGAGACUGAGAAUGAUAUGGAAAUCGUGCCGGGGAAUAGAUACAAAUUGAAAGAGCAACUGUUACGUGCGACGAGAGCAGACCGGAUCCAAUCAGAGUUCGAGAUGAUUCGCUCCCGUUUCGUCAGCUACCUCGAAGAUAUGUUUGCUAAGGGUCUUCAACCGCCGACCACACAAACCUUCCACGAAGUAUUAUUCUUCACCGAUGUGAGCAGCGUCAGGAAGCAGAUCGUGGGCUCCCCCCGCGGUGCCGUGCAUACCGCGCUCAGUAACCCUCACCAUUAUCUACAGUGUUCCUGCUGCCGCCUCUCAUCAUCAGACAGCGCAUCAGCAACGCUCCCCGACGUGUGUCUCGCCUACAAGUUACACCGCGAAUGUGGAAAACACAUCAACUUGUACGACUGGCUGCAAGCGUUCGCGGCCGUACUCUGCCCGGGGGACGAACAAGGAGACGUGCAUACACAGCCACGCUUCACCCGAGCGGUGGCAGAACUCCAGUUCCUCGGCUUCAUAAAGUCCUCCAAGAGAAAGACGGACCACGUGAUGCGUCUCACCUGGUGAUAAUUCGAUAUCUUCAGUUCUUGAAGCUAGAGUCCCACUCAACGCGAUUACCACCGAACUCCAUCCCCUGUUGGUGACGCCAAAACUAUAUCUCGCUACACUGAUCGAGUGAAGGAACUGAUUAGGUAAGUAUACAGUUCUACAAAUUCCUACUUAUUAUCAAUUCAUGAAACUUGUUACGUGUCGCCUGGCCCGACAACAAGAUGAUAUUUUAAUUAUUUAUAAAAAGCACGAUUCGCAGACAUGUAAAUAAGCUUUUAG
RNAcentral lists this unclassified non-coding RNA (2732 nucleotides) under Leguminivora glycinivorella. RNAcentral's name for it is "origin recognition complex subunit 3, transcript variant X1". Lineage: Eukaryota; Metazoa; Arthropoda; Insecta; Lepidoptera; Tortricidae. The record is from RNAcentral.